Molecule: microRNA, 21 nt
Filed under: Mus musculus (house mouse)
Lineage: Eukaryota; Metazoa; Chordata; Mammalia; Rodentia; Muridae
Description: mmu-miR-6911-3p
Source: miRBase by way of RNAcentral
UCAAUCACACUCUGUCCACAG